This is a long non-coding RNA of Syngnathoides biaculeatus (alligator pipefish), 1366 nucleotides long. RefSeq lists it as uncharacterized. NCBI's taxonomy places the organism in Eukaryota, Metazoa, Chordata, Actinopteri, Syngnathiformes, Syngnathidae. The transcript has 3 exons. The record is from RefSeq and is a predicted model, not a curated record.
UUGAAGCCAGAAGUUGACAUUCACUGUGCAAAAAGACAUUACAUUUUUCUCUCACUGAAGUCAAAUCAGACUAAACCUCUUAUGUUUCAGGUCAGUCAGAAUCACCAAAAUUAUUUAUUUUGUUAAUAUCCAGAGUAAUGAGAGACAAAAUUUCUGAGCAAAUUUUAUAUUGCAGUAUUUUCUUUGAGGUCAAACGUUUACAUACAUUUCCUUACUCUGGAGCAGCAUUUUAUUUGUGCUGCAUGACUUGGGGUGAACGUUUUGGGUAACCUUCCACAAGGUUCUGACAGUACUCUGUUGGAAUCCUGGCUCUUUCCUCCUGACAGAACUGGUGUAACUGAGUCAGGUUUGUCGGUUCUCUUGGUCACGCAUGCCUUUUCAGAUUUGCCCACAAAUUUUCAAUGAGAUUCAGAUCAGGGCUUUGUGAUGGGCCAAGAUAUUGAUUUUUUUUUUUUUUUUUUCAAUCCUCAAUAAUCCAACUUUUAACCAUUUCGACAGUAUGUUUCGGGUCAUUUUCCAUUUGCUUCCAAAUGCUUCCAAACCCAUUUGCGGCCAUGUUUUAGCUUCCUGGCUGAUGUCUUGAGAUGUUGCCUGAAUAGCAAUGUGAUCCUGUCUAUUUUAUGAAGAGCUCCAGUUCCUCCUACAGCAAAACAGCCCCACAAAUGAUACUGCCACCACCAUGCUCCACAGUUGGUAUGGUGUUCUGAGGUCUACAAGCUUCCUCCUUGUCCCCACAAAUGUAACAUUGGCCAUUAUAGCCAAAAGGAGUAACGGCCCAGCACUCCCACAAGGGUUUGUGAGGAUAAGCAGCUCAGAAAAUCGAUGGAUGGCUUCAUUCUGGCAUAUUCACAAGAUCUUUUGUUCUGGGGUUGAUUUUCACAUUCGCAACAGAGGCCAUCCCCUUCCUGAGUGAUGUGAUGGCUGGACAUUCCCAUGAUGAUUAUACUUGUGUGUAAUUAUUUGAACAGAUGAACGUGAUACCUUAAAGCAUCGGGUAAUUGCACCCAAGGAUGAGCUAGCCUUGUGAAGCUCCACGAUUCUUUCUCUGAUAUCCUGGCUGAUUUCUUUUGAUUUUCCCAUCAUUUCAAACAAGGAAGCAGAGUGUUUGAGGUGUGGCCUUAAAUACAUCCACAGGUGCGUGAUCAAUUAACUCAGUUUGUCAGUUAACCUAUCAGGAGCUUCCAAAGACAUGACCUCAUUAUCUAGACUUCCCGAUAUCCUUUAAAGACAUAGUACCUUUAUUGUAUGUAAACUUUUGACCAUGAAGAAAAUACCGUAAUAUCAAAUACUCUCUCUCUCAUUAUUGUGGCAUUUUACAAAAUUAAAUUAAUAAUUCAUCCAUCUAUCCAUUUUCAUAGCUGCUUAU